Molecule: ribosomal RNA, 446 nt
Filed under: uncultured bacterium
Lineage: Bacteria
Description: bacterial SSU rRNA
Rfam family: Bacterial small subunit ribosomal RNA
Source: RNAcentral
AACGAGAAAGUGGAGCAAUCCAUGAGUAAAGUGGCGUACGGGUGAGUAACACGUGGGUAAUCUACCUCUUGGAGGGGAAUAACCCUGGGAAACCGGGGCUAAUACCGCAUAAGACCGGAAGGUGAAAGGUGAAAAUCGCCGAGAGAGGAGCCCGCGGCUGAUUAGCUAGUUGGUGGGGUAAAGGCCUACCAAGGCGACGAUCGGUAGCCGGCCUGAGAGGGCACACGGCCACACUGGCACUGAAACACGGGCCAGACUCCUACGGGAGGCAGCAGUGGGGAAUCUUGCACAAUGGGGGCAACCCUGAUGCAGCGACGCCGCGUGAGCGAUGAAGCCCUUCGGGGUGUAAAGCUCUUUCGACCGGAACGAUAAUGACGGUACCGGGAGAAGAAGCUGCGGCUAACUACGUGCCAGCAGCCGCGGUAAUACGUAGGCAGCGAGCGUUG